CCCCGUGUUCUGGUUGAGGCUGAUCCACUUCUGGCUUGACUCUACUCUAUAGAUCCUGUGCUUUACGUUUCUUGGGAUGAGAUACUCCAUAGCCUAAAUGCAUCUAACUAUGAGGUAUUGUGUGAAUUGUGAAAGGAGAAAUGCAACUGACUACAUCAAACUAAAAAGCUUCUGCACAGCAAGGAAACCAUGAACA
Molecule: long non-coding RNA, 196 nt
Organism: Diceros bicornis minor
Lineage: Eukaryota; Metazoa; Chordata; Mammalia; Perissodactyla; Rhinocerotidae
Exons: 3
Source: RefSeq, a predicted model, not a curated record